UUUCACAUCAUGUGCACUAUCCAUAGGUUCUUGUCUGCCAGUUGGCGGCACAAAUGAAACACCUGUUGAUGGGUUGCAGAGGCAAGUGAGAGAUUUGCUCCAGCAAGAUGUCACAACAGUCGGACUGAAGAGAGACUGGGCUCUAAAGGCCCCGACGAGCGUGGCCCCGACGAGCGUGGCCCCGCUACAUUGAGACUCAGUUAGUGACCCAAGGUUUGGGGAACCAUGCGAUAUU
This is a long non-coding RNA of Micropterus dolomieu (smallmouth bass), 235 nucleotides long. RefSeq lists it as uncharacterized. The transcript is spliced from 3 exons. The record is from RefSeq and is a predicted model, not a curated record. Lineage: Eukaryota; Metazoa; Chordata; Actinopteri; Centrarchiformes; Centrarchidae.